AGUACCCGCUGAACUUAAGCAUAUCAAUAAGCGGAGGAAAAGAAACCAACCGGGAUUGCCUUAGUAACGGCGAGUGAAGCGGCAAAAGCUCAAAUUUGAAAUCUGGUACCUUUGGUGCCCGAGUUGUAAUUUGGAGAGGGCAACUUUGGGACCGUUCCUUGUCUAUGUUCCUUGGAACAGGACGUCAUAGAGGGUGAGAAUCCCGUGUGGCGAGGAGUGCGGUUCUAUGUAAAGUGCCUUCGAAGAGUCGAGUUGUUUGGGAAUGCAGCUCUAAGUGGGUGGUAAAUUCCAUCUAAAGCUAAAUAUUGGCGAGAGACCGAUAGCGAACAAGUACAGUGAUGGAAAGAUGAAAAGAACUUUGAAAAGAGAGUGAAAAAGUACGUGAAAUUGUUGAAAGGGAAGGGCAUUUGAUCAGACAUGGUGUUUUGCGCCCUCUGCUCCUUGUGGGUGGGGGAAUCUCGCAGUUCACUGGGCCAGCAUCAGUUUUGGUGGCAGGAUAAAUCCGUAGGAAUGUAACUUGCUUCGGGAAGUAUUAUAGCCUAUGGGAAUACUGCCAGCUGGGACUGAGGACUGCGACGUAAGUCAAGGAUGCUGGCAUAAUGGUUAUAUGCCGCCCGUCUUGAAACACGGACCAAGGAGUCUAACGUCUAUGCAAG
Molecule: ribosomal RNA, 656 nt
Filed under: Saccharomyces uvarum
Lineage: Eukaryota; Fungi; Ascomycota; Saccharomycetes; Saccharomycetales; Saccharomycetaceae
Description: LSU rRNA
Rfam family: Eukaryotic large subunit ribosomal RNA
Source: RNAcentral